Molecule: ribosomal RNA, 598 nt
Filed under: Alternaria brassicicola
Lineage: Eukaryota; Fungi; Ascomycota; Dothideomycetes; Pleosporales; Pleosporaceae
Description: partial 18S ribosomal RNA
Rfam family: 5.8S ribosomal RNA (bases 220-372)
Source: RNAcentral
GGAAGUAAAAGUCGUAACAAGGUCUCCGUAGGUGAACCUGCGGAGGGAUCAUUACACAAAUAUGAAGGCGGGCUGGAAUCUCUCGGGGUUACAGCCUUGCUGAAUUAUUCACCCUUGUCUUUUGCGUACUUCUUGUUUCCUUGGUGGGUUCGCCCACCACUAGGACAAACAUAAACCUUUUGUAAUUGCAAUCAGCGUCAGUAACAAAUUAAUAAUUACAACUUUCAACAACGGAUCUCUUGGUUCUGGCAUCGAUGAAGAACGCAGCGAAAUGCGAUAAGUAGUGUGAAUUGCAGAUUCAGUGAAUCAUCGAAUCUUUGAACGCACAUUGCGCCCUUUGGUAUUCCAAAGGGCAUGCCUGUUCGAGCGUCAUUUGUACCCUCAAGCUUUGCUUGGUGUUGGGCGUCUUGUCUCUAGCUUUGCUGGAGACUCGCCUUAAAGUAAUUGGCAGCCGGCCUACUGGUUUCGGAGCGCAGCACAAGUCGCACUCUCUAUCAGCAAAGGUCUAGCAUCCAUUAAGCCUUUUUUCAACUUUUGACCUCGGAUCAGGUAGGGAUACCCGCUGAACUUAAGCAUAUCAAUAAGCGGAGGAAUCUUG